This 253-nucleotide ribosomal RNA is filed under the name uncultured bacterium. RNAcentral describes it as "partial 16S ribosomal RNA". It matches the Rfam family "Bacterial small subunit ribosomal RNA", at positions 524 to 776 of the family's 1533-position model. The record is from RNAcentral.
UACGGGGGGGGCAAGCGUUGUUCGGAAUUACUGGGCGUAAAGGGCUCGUAGGUGGCCGACUAAGUCAGACGUGAAAUCCCUCAGCUUAACUGGGGAACUGCGUCUGAUACUGGAUGGCUUGAGUUUGGGAGAGGGAUGCGGAAUUCCAGGUGUAGCGGUGAAAUGCGUAGAUAUCUGGAGGAACACCGGUGGCGAAGGCGGCAUCCUGGACCAACACUGACACUGAGAAGCGAAAGCCAGGGGAGCAAACGGG